CCGAAUUGGGGAUAACGUUGCGAAAGCGACGCUAAUACCGAAUAACAUCCAUUAAUCUUCGGGUUUUUGGAUCAAGGGUGGCCUCUACAUGUAAGCUACUGUUUGAAGAUGAGCCCGCGUACCAUUAGCUUGUUGGUGGGGUAAUGGCCUACCAAGGCAGCGAUGGUUAGCUGGUCUGAGAGGAUGAUCAGCCACACUGGAACUGACACACGGUCCAGACUCCUACGGGAGGCAGCAGUGAGGAAUUUUGCGCAAUGGGGGAAACCCUGACGCAGCAACGCCGCGUGAGUGAUGAAGGCUUUCGGGUCGUAAGCUCUGUCAAGUGGGAAGAACCCGCAGUAUGCUAAUAUCAUAUUGCACUGACGGUACCACUGAAGGAAGCACCGGCUAACUCCGUGCCAGCAGCCGCGGUAAUACGGGGGGUGCAAGCGUUAUUCGGAAUCAUUGGGCGUAAAGAGCACGUAGGCGGCCUGGUAAGUCAGAUGUGAAAGCCCGGGGCUUAACCCCGGAAGUGCAUUUGAUACUGUCAGGCUUGAGUAUGGGAUGGGAAGUGGAAUUCCUGGUGUAGAGGUGAAAUUCGUAGAUAUCAGGAGGAACACCGGUGGCGAAGGCGACUUCCUGGACCAAUACUGACGCUGAGGUGCGAAGGCGUGGGUAGCAAACAGGAUUAGAUACCCUGUAGUCCACGCAGUAAACGUUGUUCACUAGGUGUAGCGGGUAUUGACCCCUGCUGUGCCGCAGUUAACGCAUUAAGUGAACCGCCUGGGGAGUACGGCCGCAAGGUUAAAACUCAAAGGAAUUGACGGGGGCCCGCACAAGCGGUGGAGCAUGUGGUUUAAUUCGACGCAACGCGAAGAACCUUACCUGGAUUUGACAUCCCGGGAAUCCUAUCGAAAGACUGGAGUGCCCUUCGGGGAGCCCGGAGACAGGUGCUGCAUGGCUGUCGUCAGCUCGUGUCGUGAGAUGUUGGGUUAAGUCCCGCAACGAGCGCAACCCUUGUCUUUAGUUACCAUCAUUCAGUUGGGGACUCUAAAGAUACUGCCCCGGUCAACGGGGAGGAAGGUGGGGAUGACGUCAAGUCCUCAUGGCCUUUAUGUCCAGGGCUACACACGUGCUACAAUGGGCUGUACAAAGGGUCGCGAACCCGCGAGGGUAAGCCAAUCCCAAAAAGCAGUCCCAAGUUCGGAUUGGAGUCUGCAACUCGACUCCAUGAAGCUGGAAUCGCUAGUAAUCGCGGAUCAGCAUGCCGCGGUGAAUACGUUCCC
Molecule: ribosomal RNA, 1265 nt
Filed under: metagenome
Description: bacterial SSU rRNA
Rfam family: Bacterial small subunit ribosomal RNA
Source: RNAcentral